CACGUAAGGGGCGAGCGUUGUUCGGAAUUAUUGGGCGUAAAGGGCGUGUAGGCGGCUUUGUAAGCCCGGUGUAAAAGGCACUGGCUCAACCAGUGUUAUGCGCUGGGAACUGCGAAGCUAGAGUUCAGGAAGGGGAGCUGGAAUUCCAGGUGUAGGGGUGAAAUCUGUAGAUAUCUGGAAGAACGCCAGAGGUGAAGACGAGCUCCUGGCCAUGGACUGACGCUGAGGCGCGAAAGCGUGGGGAG
Molecule: ribosomal RNA, 245 nt
Filed under: uncultured bacterium
Lineage: Bacteria
Description: partial 16S ribosomal RNA
Rfam family: Bacterial small subunit ribosomal RNA
Source: RNAcentral